RNAcentral lists this ribosomal RNA (1351 nucleotides) under uncultured bacterium. Its description in RNAcentral is "16S ribosomal RNA". It matches the Rfam family "Bacterial small subunit ribosomal RNA". The record is from RNAcentral.
AGAGUUUGAUCAUGGCUCAGGAUGAACGCUGGCGGCGUGCCUAACACAUGCAAGUCGAGCGGCAGCGCGAGUAGUUUACUACUUGGCGGCGAGCGGCGAACGGCUGAGUAACGCGUGGGAAUUUGCCCCAAAGUGAGGAAUAACUGCCCGAAAGGGUGGCUAAUGCCGCAUAUGAUCUUCGGAUUAAAGGAUUUAUCCGCUUUGGGAGAAGCCCGCGUCGGAUUAGGUAGUUGGUGAGGUAAUAGCUCACCAAGCCGACGAUCCGUAGCUGGUCUGAGAGGAUGACCAGCCAGACUGGAACUGAGACACGGUCCAGACUCCUACGGGAGGCAGCAGUGAGGAAUCUUCCACAAUGGGCGAAAGCCUGAUGGAGCAACGCCGCGUGCAGGAUGAAGGCCUUCGGGUUGUAAACUGCUUUUAUAAGUGAGGAAUAUGACGGUAGCUUAUGAAUAAGGAUCGGCUAACUACGUGCCAGCAGCCGCGGUCAUACGUAGGAUCCGAGCGUUAUCCGGAGUGACUGGGCGUAAAGAGUUGCGUAGGCGGUUUGUUAAGUGAAUAGUGAAAUCUGGUGGCUCAACCAUACAGGCUAUUAUUCAAACUGGCAAACUCGAGAGUGGUAGAGGUCACUGGAAUUUCUUGUGUAGGAGUGAAAUCCGUAGAUAUAAGAAGGAACACCGAUGGCGUAGGCAGGUGACUGGACCAUUUCUGACGCUAAGGCACGAAAGCGUGGGGAGCGAACCGGAUUAAGAUACCCGGGUAGUCCACGCCGUAAACGAUGGAUACUGGCUGUUGGAGGUAUCGACCCCUUCAGUAGCGAAGCUAACGCGUUAAGUAUCCCGCCUGUGGAGUACGGUCGCAAGACUAAAACAUAAAGGAAUUGACGGGGACCCGCACAAGCGGUGGAUAGUGUUAUUUAAUUCGAUGCUAAACGAAGAACCUUACCAGGGCUUGACAUCCAGGGAAUUUUUGGGAAACCAAGUAGUACCUUUUGGAGCCGUGUGACAGGUGAUUCAUGGCCGUGGUUAGCUAGCGUUGUGAGAUGUUUGGUUAAGUCCAUCAACGAGCGCAAUCCUUGCAAUUAGUUGGAUUUUUGCAGUUGGACUGCUUCGGUAACGGAGAGGAAGGAGGGGAGGAAGUCAGGUCAGUAUUUCCCUCACGUCGUGGGCUGGAAACACGAUACAAUGGAUAGUACAAUGCGCAGCAAAGCCGCGAGGUGGAGCAAAUCGCAUCAAAGCUAGUCCCAGAUUGGAUAGGAGGCUGAAACUCGCCUCCACGAAGUCGGAAUCGCUAGCAAUCGCAGAUCAGCAAGCUGCGGUGAAUACGUUCCCGGGUCUGUACACACCGCCCGUCA